Molecule: long non-coding RNA, 1344 nt
Filed under: Daucus carota (carrot)
Lineage: Eukaryota; Viridiplantae; Streptophyta; Magnoliopsida; Apiales; Apiaceae
Description: long non-coding RNA (DCAR_LNC002922)
Source: RNAcentral
GUCAAACCAGAUCUAACGGAAGGAUCCAGAUAGAAAAAAAUCAAGAGUUGAAUUACUUAUGAAUUGACAUUUAUAGUUCAGGGACCUAGAAAAAAAGUGUUUAUAGUUCAGGGACUUUAGAAUUAAUUUUCCCACAUAGAAAAGGCUGAACACAUAAUUUAAUUUAUGGGUCGUACAUGGCUUGGACCGAAGACGAGACACUGAGACCGUCCACUAUCCGUUCCCAGGAGGGAUGAACACUACUAGAAUUAUCGAGUAUUGCAACGAAAUUUUCCGAUGCGAAAAUUGUUGCAGUGGAACAUCAUAUGUGCCAAUCCAUGCAGAACGUCCAUAAGAGGGACGAAGGAAACUGGUGAUUGCCUGCCUGUUCAUCCUCCCAAGCCUUGAUCAUGGAGUGGGUGAAAAAGUCAUUAUUCAUCCUGGAAUCAACAACCAUGAAGCCUGUCCAAUUGAUUAAAUAUUAAAAAGAUAAAUUUUACUAGUUUUGAUGUCACAAUCAAAGCAAAAAAAAAAAACAAUGAGUCAAACAGUUCGUGAGCUACUCGACCUCGACUCGUAAAAUAUUCGAAUUUGGCUCAAAAAUAACUGAGUUGAACUCGAACUCGAGCUAUUCAAAUAGUUUACCGAGCCGAGUUCAAACUUCAUAUUAAUCGAUUCGUGAGGCUCGCGAGCCUAAUCGAGCACCUCUUUGGACUUCUAUUGAAUUUGAGCGAAUCAGCUCUCCCGAAAGAUAUGUUGAUGAAGAGUGAGAAAGCUCUAUCAAAGCUUUGGGCCUUUCCUACGCAGCUUAGAUGGAAGGCGAAGGAGAGUCAUGUUCUAUGACAAGAGUCUACCAACGGAAGCGAGAAUGUCAGCUUGAGUAAUGCAAACAUUGGUGAGAAUCCAAUGCCCCGAAAACUUAAAGGUUCCUCCGCAUAAGUGCGGUUCCUCUGUUUGUUGCGAGAGAGCAGGAAGGCACUCAACCUUAUGUUGUGAGGAAGCGCGAGUUUUCAAAUCUCGCGGAACAUGAUGUUAUACGAUUAGAUAGAAUGUAAUAGAAACAAAGACGGGGAGAAAAGAUUUAUUAUUGACGAGCUACGAAACCAAUUAUCUUAUUAUAAUUAUUUCUAUAUUAUUAUAUAAAAUAUUCCAUUUUUUAUGUAUUUUUAUAAUAUCAUGUUUUGAGUUUUUGUUAAUAUUUGAUGAGAAGCAUACACAGGCACGCGUUCGUAAUUCGUGAAUCCAACGAGUAGGCCUACUACUUGUUGCGAGCACACGCGAGUGAUGCCUGUCGGAGAUUCUGCCCGCCAUCAUCUCUUCCGUUGCUCCCUUUGGCCAGGGUAAAUGCAUGCCACGACAUCUUCA